RNAcentral lists this long non-coding RNA (1441 nucleotides) under Equus asinus (donkey). RNAcentral describes it as "lncRNA (ENSEASG00005029244.1)". The record is from RNAcentral. Lineage: Eukaryota; Metazoa; Chordata; Mammalia; Perissodactyla; Equidae.
CUGGAGCUGAGUUUUCCUGCCUUCAGUGGGAGAUGACCAACAUUUGAAGAAGCCAAAGGAGACAUGUCAACUUCUAGGGGGCUGGACACCCAUCAGGUAAAGAAGCUGAAAUCACUUGCUGCGGUUCUGGGAAUCAGAUUUUUAGGACAACUGACUCUUCCUUGGGAGGCUUGAUGCAUUCGACCUGAUUACUGAUGCACUGGAAACUCUACAGAGACCCAGACACAAGCUGUAAUGCAGAUGUAAUUGUUGGAGCAGGAGUGGCCGUCUUGGACCAUGAGGUGGCAGCUGUGUGUUGAUAGGACCCUAGGUCCAUAAAAUCACCAUACUAGACUUGGACUGCCUACAUUUCUGAGCAUGUGGUGGUCACUGAAGUACAAGACAGCCAGUGGGGCUCACCAUCCAGCAAGUUUCAGUGCACCCCUGUUGCCUCUUUCCCAGGAAGUUCCACCAGCAUCUCAACAGGUGACUUCCUAGUCUCACGAGGCUGAAAUCAAGGUGUUGGCUGUCCUGAGCUCAUUUUUGGAGGUUCUGGAGAAGAAUCUGCUUCCAAGCUCAUUCGGGUUGUUGGAAGAAUCCAGUUCCUUGUAAUUACAGGGUUGAGGUCCCCACGUCCUUGCUGGCUGUCACUUGGGAAACUCUCUCAGCUCCUUAAGGCCAUCUACAUCCCUCAUCAUGUUGCUUCCUCCAUCUUCAUUCCGGUGAUGGUGCGUAGAGUCCUUCUGAUGCUUCAAGUCUCUGCGACUUCCCCUUUUACAGUAUCUUUUCUGUCUCCAGCCAGAGAAAGUUCUCUGCUUUUAAGGACUCAGGUGAUUAGCUUGGACCCACCUGGUUAAUCCAGAAUAACCUCCCAAUUUUAAGGCCCGAAGCCUUAAUCACACCUGCAAAGCCCCUUUUGCCAUGUCAGGUAACAUCAUCAGAGGUUCCAGGGAUCAGGACAUAGACAUCUUUGGGGGGACAUUCUACCUACCACAGCAAUCCUCUGGUCAGUCUUAGCCAAAGACUCCAAAGAUGAGGUUUCCUACCACUUCUAUUAAACUCUGGCUAUUUGGGUUCCUGGGGGUACCUAGAGGACACUGAUCAUUUUAAUUUAUAGAUCAUCAGGAAAUUGUACAGUGCUAUAGACUGAAUGUUUGUGUUCCCCCAAAGUUCGGGUGUUGAAGCCCUAAGCCCCAGUGUGAUGGUAUUAGGAGGUGAGGCCUUUGGGAGGUAAUUAGGUUUAAAUGAGGUCACGAGGGUGGAGCCCCCACGAUGGGACUAGUGUCCACAUAAGAAGAGAAAGAGACCCCAGAGCUUCCUCACUUAGCCACGUGAGGAUACAACAAGAAGAUGGCCUUUUGUAAGCUAGGAAGAGAGUUCUGAUUAGGAACUGAAUCUGCCGGCACCUUGAUCUUGGACUCCCCAGCCUCCAGAACUGUGAAAAAUAAAUGUCUGUUGUUUA